AUUGAACGCUGGCGGCAGGCCUAACACAUGCAAGUCGAGCGGAUGAAGGGAGCUUGCUCCUGGAUUCAGCGGCGGACGGGUGAGUAAUGCCUAGGAAUCUGCCUGGUAGUGGGGGAUAACGUCCGGAAACGGGCGCUAAUACCGCAUACGUCCUGAGGGAGAAAGUGGGGGAUCUUCGGACCUCACGCUAUCAGAUGAGCCUAGGUCGGAUUAGCUAGUUGGUGGGGUAAAGGCCUACCCAGGCGACGAUCCGUAACUGGUCUGAGAGGAUGAUCAGUCACACUGGAACUGAGACACGGUCCAGACUCCUACGGGAGGCAGCAGUGGGGAAUAUUGGACAAUGGGCGAAAGCCUGAUCCAGCCAUGCCGCGUGUGUGAAGAAGGUCUUCGGAUUGUAAAGCACUUUAAGUUGGGAGGAAGGGCAGUAAGUUAAUACCUAGCUGUUUUGACGUUACCAACAGAAUAAGCACCGGCUAACUUCGUG
RNAcentral lists this ribosomal RNA (484 nucleotides) under uncultured bacterium. Its description in RNAcentral is "partial 16S ribosomal RNA". It matches the Rfam family "Bacterial small subunit ribosomal RNA", at positions 30 to 507 of the family's 1533-position model. The record is from RNAcentral.